AUACGUAGGGAGCGAGCGUUGUCCGGAAUUACUGGGUGUAAAGGGAGCGUAGGCGGGAUGGCAAGUUGGAUGUUUAAACUAACGGCUCAACUGUUAGGUGCAUCCAAAGCUGCUGUUCUUGAGUGAAGUAGAGGCAGGCGGAAUUCCUAGUGUAGCGGUGAAAUGCGUAGAUAUUAGGAGGAACACCAGUGGCGAAGGCGGCCUGCUGGGCUUUAACUGACGCUGAGGCUCGAAAGCGUGGGGAGC
Molecule: ribosomal RNA, 246 nt
Filed under: uncultured bacterium
Lineage: Bacteria
Description: partial 16S ribosomal RNA
Rfam family: Bacterial small subunit ribosomal RNA
Source: RNAcentral